RNAcentral lists this ribosomal RNA (241 nucleotides) under uncultured bacterium. RNAcentral's name for it is "partial 16S ribosomal RNA". It matches the Rfam family "Bacterial small subunit ribosomal RNA", at positions 93 to 334 of the family's 1533-position model. The record is from RNAcentral.
CGGUGGCGGACGGGGGAGUAACGCGUGGGUAACCUGCCUCAUACAGGGGGAUAACGGUUAGAAAUGACUGCUAAUACCGCAUAAGCGCACAGUACCGCAUGGUACGGUGUGAAAAACUCCGGUGGUAUGAGAUGGACCCGCGUCUGAUUAGCUAGUUGGUGGGGUAACGGCCCACCAAGGCGACGAUCAGUAGCCGACCUGAGAGGGUGACCGGCCACAUUGGGACUGAGACACGGCCCAG